ACUGUGGAAUCAAGGAAAAGAUGUGCUGUAACUUCUAUUUUGUUCAUAGUGAAAUCCAGCCGGUGGGCUGUCAGUGCGGAAGAGUGGACGUAGGCUUGGAAUAAGCCGAACCACUAUAAAUCUUGUGUUCAUUUCUCUCUUCCAUAUCCUUUACUUUACCUUGAUCGUAUUUUCCUUUCUAUCGAUUGCCUAAAAUCACUUCCGUAUCUCGAAAAUUUGUUUGUGC
This 226-nucleotide long non-coding RNA is filed under the name Eucalyptus grandis. Its description in RNAcentral is "long non-coding RNA (EGRA_LNC007405)". The record is from RNAcentral. Lineage: Eukaryota; Viridiplantae; Streptophyta; Magnoliopsida; Myrtales; Myrtaceae.